UGUUUCAUGAAAGCAAUAUAAAAUUUUUCAAAUUUCAUGGGAAGUAGCAACUUAGUUGUAUGCUACAUGGAAGCAUGCAAAACCUAUUGAAAAAAGGUUACUGGCCUUGACGUGCGCCUUUUUUCGUGGUCUUGAUUUCACCAGAAGCCCUACUUUGUUGAAAUUCCAAUGCCGUGUUGUAGUUAAACAACAUUGUUCUCUGUAAAUAUCUUGCGCAGAAGGAUGGGCUCCAGAGCCGGAAGCUUGUAUCCUGUUAAAAAUAUUUACAUUAUCUUAAUUUCAUCACUUUGGUUUCUGCAAAAAAUACGACAAAUUUCUUAUCCCUUCUCACCUCUGACCUCUCCCAAAACUCCUCAGAAGCCAAAUAAAAACAAUAGUCAAAGAUAUGUGAGAGGUAAGCAUUCAAAAUAUUUUCUAUAUCUCAAGGCACGCAAGGAAAUGAUCUCAUUGUAUGCAUAAAACAUGAUACAUCAUUAGGCAAUACAAAAAACUUUAAGCAAUCUAAUCAUGAAUGAGUUGCAAACUUCUGUACAGUGUGAUAGCUAUUAGCUACCACGAUCAUCUCAAUACUCACUCCUGUUUGCUAGCCACUUAAAAAAUGUAGGCAACUAAGCAGCAAUAGCAUAGUCAUAAGCACUUGAAUAAACUGUCGUCGCAUUUGAUGCUACAGAAGUCCUAAAUUAACUAGCAGCUUCUGUAUUGUUUUUCGACCCCAUUGAGUGUCAUUUUGCGGAACAACAUUUUCAAUGGACUCUGAUUCUUUCUGCUUUCCGUCAUCAGCUACUGGCUUUUGUUCGAAUUCAUUGUGAAGCUGCUCCUGAUCACUGAACACCUCAACUGCUUCUUCUUGACUUGGAUCGCCAACAAUUUCAUGCUUCUCAUCUGACUGAUUAUUAUUAGAACUCGGUUAAUAGAUAAGAAGACUAACGAAAGUGAGAGGAAUAGAGAGGGACGUUGCGCACCAUUGCUAAUCGUGACGUGGUAAAUUACUAUGGUCACACGUUAUAUGUUUUUCUAACAGAUAAUCUGGAUUUAAUGGAAAAUUUUCUAAUCUAGUAGGUUACAGUGGUAAUCUUUAAUUGUAUAGUGGGACAAGGUGGAAAGGAUACCAAACCAAUCCCAUCUCUUAGUGGAAGUUGAGGCAAUGGUAUGUAUAAUCGCAAGUGCACAAGUUCUUUGAUUGCUGACCAUAAGUGAAUAUGAACCUAUGAUCUUCUAAAGCUCCAAGAGUGGUCUUUUUAUUUAUUUCUUAUCGGAAAUAGUUCAUAUUCUAUAAAACAUCAAUUUCAAAAGGAUACAAACUAAAGCU
This 1309-nucleotide unclassified non-coding RNA is filed under the name Hevea brasiliensis (rubber tree). The record is from RNAcentral. Lineage: Eukaryota; Viridiplantae; Streptophyta; Magnoliopsida; Malpighiales; Euphorbiaceae.